GGAUGGGCACCAGGUGAGGAAGGUUAAGGGAUCAAAGCCUGAGCAUCACCUGUGAGGAAGGCAGGGUGAUCACAAGGCAGGAUUUUAUCACCAGUCGUGCUAUGUUGGUGUCAAACCCAGGCUCCAGGAGUCAUGGGAUUAUGUGAAAUGCUCCGCUUUCUUUCAUUUACCCGCCCCUAUGUGCACAUGAAAAAAAGUAAGCUUCUAGCCCUUGUGUUAUGGGGAAAAAGCUAGAAAACUGCCCUGGGAAAGUCUCCAAAACAAGACCCGCAGCAAAAGAACCGCAAAUAGAGUCAAAAGAAAAAACUCUUUGGUGAUUUUUAAAUUGAUUUUGGGGUGGGGGAGAGAUUCAUAGUUUUGAAUGUCUGGAGUAGGCAAUACUGGAGAGGGACAAGGGGAAGGAGAAGCUGUGGCACUCUGGAGAAAUGGAUGUGUGGAAGCAGCUCAGGGAACAGGUAGCAGGGGAUGCAGGAGUGAGGUGGAAUAGGGGAGAAGAUCGAACCUAGGGGAGACGGUUGCAGAUAGGGAUAUGAAUAUGUGUAAAAUAUCCCUCAGAGGAUUCAAUUUGGAGAGAGACCAAAUAUACACUGGUUCUGCAAUGGCAGCACCUGCAGGGGCAGUAUGACCUGAUGAAAUGCACAGAAUUUUAGGUGCCAAGGCCAAGUGUAACACUUCUGCACUACGGUGGUACACUGUACUUCUUGUACGUCUGUCAGAAGCAGUCUGCAAAAAAUAAGAGUGGUGGCUGCCUCGAAAAUUCUGAGAAAAGGAAAUGAAAGUGAGAGAUGCAAGGGAUCGCUGCCUCCAAGUUGCUGUUGCCAUAGAACUGCUGCUGUUCAAGAAAAAACUGCAGCAUGGACUUCCUCUGCCACUGAAGCUAAUACCCAACUAGUGGAGCUGCUGGUAUGUGUGGGUGGAGGGGGAUCCAGCUACAGAAGAUUUGCUGCUCGCUGUGACAUUUUAUAAAUAAAUCUCUUUCAUUGGAAGUGAGUGGCAGGAAGUAUAUUUCUGCUGGCACCCAGGGUCAAAAUAAGAAACAGAAGAGUGUUCGUCUCCAUUUAAUUUUUUUUGUAUGUGUCUGACUAUUUUUUUCAGGCUGGUGAGCUACAGGGUUUGGAUACAUUAGCCAAACUGUUUGUUUAAAUGAGUUAUUGCUGUCACUGUUCUACUGAUGAGUGCUUGCAUUCCUCCUUGAAGCCAUUACUAAACUUGAAUCAACCCUGACAGUUGAUCUUAAAGUAAUCUGAGCACUGCAUUAAAAAAAGUCCUCUUUGGGGCAAAGGAAGCUAGAAAGGUGUCCCUCUGUCCCAGUCUCUUGGCCAGCUUUGUAUGUUCACUGUCUCAAUUUUUUGCUUUAUAUGUGUGGUUUCCAAUCCAACCUUGGGUAGUGUUUGACAGCUGAGUGGUUUACUUCAGGCUCCAAAAGUAAGUGCAUCUGGUGGAACAUGUAGCAUUGCUGGCUGA
Long non-coding RNA from Mauremys mutica (yellowpond turtle), 1464 nucleotides. RefSeq lists it as uncharacterized. The record is from RefSeq and is a predicted model, not a curated record. The transcript has 5 exons. Lineage: Eukaryota; Metazoa; Chordata; Testudines; Geoemydidae.